Nematostella vectensis (starlet sea anemone) is the source of this 84-nucleotide non-coding RNA. The record is from Rfam. Lineage: Eukaryota; Metazoa; Cnidaria; Anthozoa; Actiniaria; Edwardsiidae.
GUCAGGAUGGCCGAGUGGUCUUAGGCGCUGCGUUAAGGUCGCAAUCUCGUUCUCCAGGAGUGGGUUCGAAUCCCACUCCAGACA